UGGGGAAUUUUGGACAAUGGGCGAAAGCCUGAUCCAGCAAUGCCGCGUGUGUGAAGAAGGCCUUCGGGUUGUAAAGCACUUUUGUCCGGAAAGAAAUCCUUGGCUCUAAUACAGUCGGGGGAUGACGGUACCGGAAGAAUAAGCACCGGCUAACUACGUGCCAGCAGCCGCGGUAAUACGUAGGGUGCAAGCGUUAAUCGGAAUUACUGGGCGUAAAGCAUGCGCAGGCGGUUUGCUAAGACCGAUGUGAAAUCCCCGGGCUCAACCUGGGAACUGCAUUGGUGACUGGCAGGCUAGAGUAUGGCAGAGGGGGGUAGAAUUCCACGUGUAGCAGUGAAAUGCGUAGAGAUGUGGAGGAAUACCGAUGGCGAAGGCAGCCCCCUGGGCCAAUACUGACGCUCAUGCACGAAAGCGUGGGGGAGCAAAACAGGAUUAGAUACCCUGGUAGUCCACGCCCUAAAACGAUGUCAACUAGUUGUUGGGGAUUCAUUUCCUUAGUAACGUAGCUAACGCGUGAAGUUGACCGCCUGGGGAGUACGGUCGCAA
This 546-nucleotide ribosomal RNA is filed under the name uncultured bacterium. RNAcentral's name for it is "partial 16S ribosomal RNA". It matches the Rfam family "Bacterial small subunit ribosomal RNA", at positions 355 to 891 of the family's 1533-position model. The record is from RNAcentral.